This 22-nucleotide non-coding RNA is filed under the name Chlamydomonas reinhardtii. The record is from RNAcentral. Lineage: Eukaryota; Viridiplantae; Chlorophyta; Chlorophyceae; Chlamydomonadales; Chlamydomonadaceae. RNAcentral also lists the same sequence under 1 other name.
UAAUUCUAGAGCUAAUACGUGC